CCUACGGGUGGCUGCAGUGGGGAAUAUUGCACAAUGGGCGCAAGCCUGAUGCAGCCAUGCCGCGUGUGUGAAGAAGGCCUUCGGGUUGUAAAGCACUUUCAGCGGGGAGGAAGGCGGUGAGGUUAAUAACCUCAUCGAUUGACGUUACCCGCAGAAGAAGCACCGGCUAACUCCGUGCCAGCAGCCGCGGUAAUACGGAGGGUGCAAGCGUUAAUCGGAAUUACUGGGCGUAAAGCGCACGCAGGCGGUCUGUCAAGUCGGAUGUGAAAUCCCCGGGCUCAACCUGGGAACUGCAUUCGAAACUGGCAGGCUAGAGCCUUGUAGAGGGGGGUAGAAUUCCAGGUGUAGCGGUGAAAUGCGUAGAGAUCUGGAGGAAUACCGGUGGCGAAGGCGGCCCCCUGGACAAAGACUGACGCUCAGGUGCGAAAGCGUGGGGAGCAAACAGGAUUAGAUACCCCGGUAGUC
RNAcentral lists this ribosomal RNA (465 nucleotides) under uncultured Klebsiella sp. RNAcentral describes it as "bacterial SSU rRNA". It matches the Rfam family "Bacterial small subunit ribosomal RNA", at positions 338 to 795 of the family's 1533-position model. The record is from RNAcentral. Lineage: Bacteria; Pseudomonadati; Pseudomonadota; Gammaproteobacteria; Enterobacterales; Enterobacteriaceae.